Molecule: ribosomal RNA, 301 nt
Filed under: uncultured bacterium
Lineage: Bacteria
Description: partial 16S ribosomal RNA
Rfam family: Bacterial small subunit ribosomal RNA
Source: RNAcentral
CAGCCGCCGCGGGAAUACGGAGGGAGCUAGCGUUGUUCGGAAUUACUGGGCGUAAAGCGCGCGUAGGCGGUUACUCAAGUCAGAGGUGAAAGCCCGGGGCUCAACCCCGGAACUGCCUUUGAAACUAGGUGACUAGAAUCUUGGAGAGGUCAGUGGAAUUCCGAGUGUAGAGGUGAAAUUCGUAGAUAUUCGGAAGAACACCAGUGGCGAAGGCGACUGACUGGACAAGUAUUGACGCUGAGGUGCGAAAGCGUGGGGAGCAAACAGGAUUAGAUACCCCCGUAGUCCCUGUCUCUUAUAA